RNAcentral lists this non-coding RNA (29 nucleotides) under Rattus norvegicus (Norway rat). Lineage: Eukaryota; Metazoa; Chordata; Mammalia; Rodentia; Muridae. The record is from RNAcentral.
UAACUCCUUUCUUUUUUCUCCAGGUGCCC